GCCUGGGUGGCUCAAUCAGUUAAGCAUCUGACUUCAGCUCAGGUCAUGAUCUCACGGCUUGUGGGUUUGAGCCCUCCCUCAGGCU
Molecule: transfer RNA, 85 nt
Filed under: Felis catus (domestic cat)
Lineage: Eukaryota; Metazoa; Chordata; Mammalia; Carnivora; Felidae
Also listed under: 4 other names
Rfam family: tRNA
About the family: Transfer RNA (tRNA) molecules are approximately 80 nucleotides in length.
Source: Rfam by way of RNAcentral